CGUGCGGUCGAUUUUGCAGUUAUCACCUGCGUAGCUCGUUCCGCAAAGUUAUAAGCGCCGUUGGGCCCUUGCUUGGUCGGUGACUCAAUGGUUUGUCGCCGGACGCGUCGAGCAGCGAAAACAAAAUCCGGCGCGGGAAGCGCCAUUCGAGCAGCAGCAGAGUUAUAGAGAGAGAGAGGACGGUCUUCCCGCGGGGAUUAAAGGGCCUCCAAAUGAAAAUUACACUCGCAUUAUAUGUAUGUGUACGACUCUCGGCAACGGAUAUCUAGGCUCUCGCAUCGAUGAAGAACGUAGCGAACUGCGAUAGUUGGUGUGAAUUGCAGAAUCCCGUGAACCAUGGAGUCUUCGAACGCAAGUUGCGCCCGAAGCCAUUAGGCCGAGGGCACGUCUGCCUGGGCGUCACGCACUGCGUCGGCCCCCCUCACCCGUGUCCCGAAAGGGUCGCGGGCCCAAGCGUGGGGGCGGAGGAAGUUGGCUUCCCGUGCAGCGUUCGCGGCUAUCCGGAAACGCGGUUCCCUCGCCGCGGACGUCGCGACAAGUGGUGGUCGUCGAGAUUUCGCGCGAGUUGCGGGCAAGCCGCGGCGGGGAGAGCAUCUCGGACCCCGUGCGAGAUGAGUCCUUCAGCGAGGGGCAAUUCGGAGGAUUGCGACCCCAGGUCGGGCGGGGCUACCCGCCGAGUUUUAAGCAUAUCAAUAAGCGGAGAGAAUCUU
Molecule: ribosomal RNA, 710 nt
Filed under: Calotropis procera
Lineage: Eukaryota; Viridiplantae; Streptophyta; Magnoliopsida; Gentianales; Apocynaceae
Description: eukaryotic LSU rRNA
Rfam family: 5.8S ribosomal RNA (bases 247-402)
Source: RNAcentral